This 468-nucleotide ribosomal RNA is filed under the name uncultured bacterium. Its description in RNAcentral is "partial 16S ribosomal RNA". It matches the Rfam family "Bacterial small subunit ribosomal RNA", at positions 28 to 507 of the family's 1533-position model. The record is from RNAcentral.
GACGAACGCUGGCGGCGUGCUUAACACAUGCAAGUCGAACGGAAAGGCCCUGCUUUUGUGGGGUGCUCGAGUGGCGAACGGGUGAUUAACACGUGAGUAACCUGCCCUUGACUUUGGGAUAACUUCAGGAAACUGGGGCUAAUACCGGAUAGGAGCUCCUUCUGCAUGGUGGGGGUUGGAAAGUUUCGGCGGUUGGGGAUGGACUCGCGGCUUAUCAGCUUGUUGGUGGGGUAGUGGCUUACCAAGGCUUUGACGGGUAGCCGGCCUGAGAGGGUGACCGGCCACAUUGGGACUGAGAUACGGCCCAGACUCCUACGGGAGGCAGCAGUGGGGAAUAUUGCACAAUGGGCGGAAGCCUGAUGCAGCAACGCCGCGUGCGGGAUGACGGCCUUCGGGUUGUAAACCGCUUUCGCCUGUGACGAAGCGUGAGUGACGGUAAUGGGUAAAGAAGCACCGGCUAACUACGUG